CCUACGGGAGGCAGCAGUGGGGAAUUUUGGACAAUGGGGGCAACCCUGAUCCAGCAAUGCCGCGUGAGUGAAGAAGGCCUUCGGGUUGUAAAGCUCUUUUGUCAGGGAAGAAACAGCAGCUCUAACACAGACUGCGAAUGACGGUACCUGAAGAAUAAGCACCGGCUAACUACGUGCCAGCAGCCGCGGUAAUACGUAGGGUGCGAGCGUUAAUCGGAAUUACUGGGCGUAAAGCGUGCGCAGGCGGUUAUACAAGACAGGCGUGAAAUCCCCGGGCUUAACCUGGGAAUGGCGUCUGUGACUGUAUAGCUAGAGUGUGUCAGAGGGGGGUGGAAUUCCACGUGUAGCAGUGAAAUGCGUAGAUAUGUGGAGGAACACCAAUGGCGAAGGCAGCCCCCUGGGAUAACACUGACGCUCAUGCACGAAAGCGUGGGGAGCAAAACGAGGAUUAGACUACCCGUGGUACGUCCACGCCCUAAACGAUGCUGACUAGUUGUUGGGAAUUUACAUUCUCAGUAACGUAGCUAACGCGUGAAGUNAGCGCCGUCGGGNGGUACGGUCGCGAGAGUAAACGUACAAGUAGAGUUAGAGGCGUGAGACGUUAGCCGACGGACGACGACGAGGGGAGGUAGG
Molecule: ribosomal RNA, 633 nt
Filed under: uncultured bacterium
Lineage: Bacteria
Description: bacterial SSU rRNA
Rfam family: Bacterial small subunit ribosomal RNA (bases 1-545)
Source: RNAcentral